This 224-nucleotide unclassified non-coding RNA is filed under the name Hevea brasiliensis (rubber tree). The record is from RNAcentral. Lineage: Eukaryota; Viridiplantae; Streptophyta; Magnoliopsida; Malpighiales; Euphorbiaceae.
GAUAUUUUUGCUGGUAUGGGAAGUAGUGAGUUUGAGUAGACAUUUCCUUAUGUACCUUGCUGCAGAUAAAAAUCACGAUUGUGCUUAAAGUAUUUAUUGGUAAAUAAAAAAAUCAGAUUUCAAAAGUAUCUUGACAACCCAAAUCAACCUGCUUAACAGAAGUUGUAUAUGCAGUUCCUAGGACUAUCAACCUAAUCUCAUGUUGCUUUUAAUUCAUUAAAUUA